This 354-nucleotide unclassified non-coding RNA is filed under the name soil metagenome. RNAcentral describes it as "partial contains 5.8S ribosomal RNA, internal transcribed spacer 2, and large subunit ribosomal RNA". The stretch from base 1 to 120 matches the Rfam family "5.8S ribosomal RNA", at positions 35 to 154 of the family's 154-position model. The record is from RNAcentral.
GAUGAAGAACGUAGCGAAACGCGAUAUGUAAUGUGAAUUGCAGAAUUCAGUGAAUCAUCGAAUCUUUGAACGCACAUGGCGCCUUCCAGUAUCCUGGGAGGCAUGCCUGUCCGAGCGUCGUUUCAACCCUCGAGCCCCCGUGGCCCGGCGUUGGGGAUCUGCCCAGGCAGUCCCCGAAAACCAGUGGCGGACCCGUUACAGGCCCUUCCCUUGCGUAGUAUCAUUCGCCUCGCAUCGGGAGCCGGCGGGCUUCCAGCCUCUAAACCCCCAUCAAGUCCGCCCCGGCGGCACCAAGGUUGACCUCGGAUCAGGUAGGAAUACCCGCUGAACUUAAGCAUAUCAAUAAGCGGAGGA